RNAcentral lists this ribosomal RNA (769 nucleotides) under Geastrum triplex. Its description in RNAcentral is "LSU rRNA". It matches the Rfam family "Eukaryotic large subunit ribosomal RNA", at positions 135 to 892 of the family's 3401-position model. The record is from RNAcentral. Lineage: Eukaryota; Fungi; Basidiomycota; Agaricomycetes; Geastrales; Geastraceae.
CGUCCGAGUUGUAAUCUAGAGAAGUGCGUGCCUGACCGUGUACAAGUCCUUUGGAACAAGGCGUCAUAGAGGGUGAGAAUCCCGUCUACGACACCCCAAUAGAAAAGGCUUUGUGAUACACUCUCAACGAGUCGAGUUGUUUGGGAAUGCAGCUCAAAAUGGGUGGUAAAUUCCAUCUAAAGCUAAAUAUGGGCGAAAGACCGAUAGCGAACAAGUACCGUGAGGGAAAGAUGAAAAGCACUUUGGAAAGAGAGUUAAACAGUACGUGAAAUUGUUGAAAGGGAAACGCUUGAAGUCAGUCGCGUCUUCAGAAAUUCAGCUGGGCUUCUGCCCUGUGUACUUUUCUGUGGGACGGGCCAGCAUCAGUUUCGGCUGCCAGAAAAAGGUGGGAGGAAGGUGGCACCUCCGGGUGUGUUAUAGCCUCCGAUCGUAUGUGGCAGCUGGGACUGAGGACCGCAGCACGCCUUCAUGGCCGGGGUUCGCCCACGUAACGUGCUUAGGAUGCUGGCGUAAUGGCUUUAAGCGACCCGUCUUGAAACACGGACCAAGGAGUCUAACAUGCCUGCGAGUAUUUGGGUGGCAAACCCAUAUGCGCAAUGAAAGUGAACGGUUGGGACUUCUGUCAUGGAAGGCACCGACGCCCGGACCAGACCUAUUGUGACGGAUCCGAGGUAGAGCAUGUAUGUUGGGACCCGAAAGAUGGUGAACUAUGCCUGAGUAGGGUGAAGCCAGAGGAAACUCUGGUGGAGGCUCGUAGCGAUUCUGACGU